Molecule: ribosomal RNA, 253 nt
Filed under: uncultured bacterium
Lineage: Bacteria
Description: partial 16S ribosomal RNA
Rfam family: Bacterial small subunit ribosomal RNA
Source: RNAcentral
GACAGAGGGUGCAAACGUUGUUCGGAAUUACUGGGCGUAAAGGGCUCGUAGGUGGCCAACUAAGUCAGACGUGAAAUCCCUCGGCUUAACCGGGGAACUGCGUCUGAUACUGGAUGGCUUGAGUUUGGGAGAGGGACGCGGAAUUCCAGGUGUAGCGGUGAAAUGCGUAGAUAUCUGGAGGAACACCGGUGGCGAAGGCGGCGUCCUGGACCAACACUGACACUGAGGAGCGAAAGCCAGGGGAGCAAACGGG